UACAGAGGGGGCAAGCGUUAUUCGGAAUUAUUGGGCGUAAAGGGCGCGUAGGCGGCCUGGCAAGUGGAAGGUGAAAUCCCUCGGCUUAACCGAGGAACUGCCCUCCAAACUGCUUGGCUUGAGUCCGGGAGAGGUGAGUGGAAUUCCACGUGUAGCAGUGAAAUGCGUAGAGAUGUGGAGGAACACCGAUGGCGAAGGCAGCCCCCUGGGCUAACACUGACGCUCAUGCACGAAAGCGUGGGGAGCAAACAGG
This 253-nucleotide ribosomal RNA is filed under the name uncultured bacterium. RNAcentral describes it as "partial 16S ribosomal RNA". It matches the Rfam family "Bacterial small subunit ribosomal RNA", at positions 524 to 776 of the family's 1533-position model. The record is from RNAcentral.